Molecule: long non-coding RNA, 640 nt
Organism: Oncorhynchus tshawytscha (Chinook salmon)
Lineage: Eukaryota; Metazoa; Chordata; Actinopteri; Salmoniformes; Salmonidae
Source: Ensembl
GAUGGUAGUGGUGGUGAUGGAGGUGGUGGUGGUGGUGUUGAUGGAGGUGGUGGUGGUGGUGAAAGUGGUGGUGGUGGUGAAAGUGGUGAAAGUGCUGGUGGUGGUGAAAGUGGUGAAAGUGGUGGUGGUGGAGGUGGUGGUAGUGAAAGUGGUGGUGGUGGAGGUGGUGAUGGUGGUGGUUGUGAAAGUGGUGGUGGUGGUAGUGGUGGUGAUGGAGGUGGUGAUGGAGGUGGUGGUGGUGGUGGUAGUGGUGAUGAUGGAGGUGGUGAUGGAGGUGGUGGUGGUGGUGAAAGUGCUGGUGAAAGUGGUGGUGGAGGAGAAAGUGGUGAAAGUGGUGGUGGUAGUGGUGGUGGUGAUGAUGGUGAAAGUCAUGGUGGUGAAAGUGGUGAAGGUGGUGGUGAUGGAGGUGUUGAUGGAGGUGGUGGUGGUGGUAGUGGUGGUGUUGGAGGUGGUGGUGAAAGUGAUGGUGGUGGAGAAAGUGCUGAAAGUGGUGGUGGUAGUGGUGGUGGUGGAGGUGGUGGUGGUGGUGGUGAUGGUGGUGGUUGUGAAAGUGGUGAUGGUGGUGGUAGUGGUGGUGAUGGAGGUGGUGAUAGAGGUGGUGGUGGUAGUGGUGGUAUUGGUGGUAGUGGUGGUGGUGAAA